RNAcentral lists this ribosomal RNA (497 nucleotides) under uncultured bacterium. RNAcentral describes it as "partial 16S ribosomal RNA". It matches the Rfam family "Bacterial small subunit ribosomal RNA", at positions 28 to 507 of the family's 1533-position model. The record is from RNAcentral.
GAUGAACGCUGGCGGCGUGCCUAAUACAUGCAAGUCGAGCGAACAGACGAGGAGCUUGCUCCUCUGACGUUAGCGGCGGACGGGUGAGUAACACGUGGAUAACCUACCUAUAAGACUGGGAUAACUUCGGGAAACCGGAGCUAAUACCGGAUAAUAUAUUGAACCGCAUGGUUCAAUAGUGAAAGACGGUUUUGCUGUCACUUAUAGAUGGAUCCGCGCCGCAUUAGCUAGUUGGUAAGGUAACGGCUUACCAAGGCAACGAUGCGUAGCCGAUCUGAGAGGGUGAUCGGCCACACUGGAACUGAGACACGGUCCAGACUCCUACGGGAGGCAGCAGUAGGGAAUCUUCCGCAAUGGGCGAAAGCCUGACGGAGCAACGCCGCGUGAGUGAUGAAGGUCUUCGGAUCGUAAAACUCUGUUAUUAGGGAAGAACAAUUGUGUAAGUAACUAUGCACGUCUUGACGGUACCUAAUCAGAAAGCCACGGCUAACUACGUG